CCAGAGUUGGGAGGUACGCACUCACUCACUCGCACAUGCACACAUACACACGUGAAGACAGAAGUUGCGGUGCACUUUUGGAACAAGGGAGAAACGGAGGCGAUGCGUUGCUGGGUGUGGUUUCCUGCUGUGGGGCUGCUGGCCUGGAUGUGCUGCAGCCUGGAGCCCGUUGAAGGGGGGAAGGUGCUGGUUAUUCCCGUAGACGGGAGUCACUGGCUGAGCAUGAAGAUUCUAGUGAAGGAGCUCACCCACAGAGGACACGACGUGGUGGUUGUGGUGCCUGAGAGCAGCCUGCUGAUGAACGCCUCAGAGAGCUACAGGACCCAGCACUACAAAGUUCCCUACACCAAAGCUGAACUGGACGACAAAUUCACCGAGCUGAAGGAUAGCGUCUUCAUCAAGUCGCCAGAAAUUGCCAGAAUAGUUGCCGACGCGUUGCGUUUGAUCAACUUCACCGGGUUCCAGGUGAAAGGCUGCAGAGCUCUGCUCAACAACCAGCCUCUGAUGAGUCAGCUGAGGAAGGAAGGCUUCAAUGUGGUCCUGACAGAUCCUUUCCUCCCAUGUGGCUCCGUCCUGGCUCAUAUCUUCAACAUCCCAGUUGUUUAUUUUAUGCGUGGACUCCCUUGUGACUUGGAUGUGAAGGCAAACCAGUGUCCCGUCCCUAUGUCCUACGUUCCCAAAGCCUACUCCGGGAACACAGAUGUCAUGACGUUCCUGCAGAGGGUGAAAAACAACAUCAUGGGAAUGGCAGAGAACCUUUUGUGCCGGGUUGCGUAUGCACAAUUUGAUGUGCUGGUCAAUGACUAUGUGGAAAAAGAUAUGACCUACAAGGACCUUUUGAGCCACGCUGCUCUUUGGCUCAAUAGAGCCGACUUUGUGCUGCAAUGGCCCAAACCUUUGAUGCCCAACAUGGUUUUCAUUGGCGGUAUCAACUGCGCAAAAGCACGACCCCUGCCCGCAGAUUUGGAGGCGUUUGUGGAAGGUUCAGGUGAGGACGGCUUUAUCGUCUUUACCUUGGGCUCCAUGGUGUCCACCAUGCCAGAGGAGAUAGCGAAACACUUUUUUGAAGCCUUUGCGAAGAUUCCACAAAAGGUUUUGUGGCGAUACACUGGAGUUCAACCUCAGAAUGUGCCAAAGAAUGUUAAACUUAUGAAGUGGCUACCUCAGAAUGACCUCUUGGCCCACCCAAAAGCCAAAGCUUUCCUCACCCACGGAGGAACCCAUGGUGUCUAUGAAGGGGUCUGCAAUGCUGUACCCAUGCUGAUGUUUCCACUGUUCGGGGACCAAGGAGACAACGUUCACCGCUUGGUGGCACACGGUGUUGCGGAGAGCCUCGGCAUCCUUGAUGUGACAACAGACAAACUACUGGCUGCUCUGACUAAUAUUAUCAAUGAUGAAGGUUAUAAAGAGAGGAUGGUGAAGUUGUCUACCUUACACCUGGACCGCCCGGUCCAGCCUGUGGACCUGGCUGCUUUCUGGACGGAGUUUGUCAUGAGACACAAUGGAGCCGCACAUCUACGGAGGGCCAUUGAUAUGACCUCCAUGGACCGCCCCUUGCUGCAUCACAGUUAGAGCACCAAUUGAAACCCCCAUGAGAAAGUGCUUGGCGACCGAGGCAAGGACAAACUCACUCCUAUUCAGUGUGGAAAUGGCAACAAAGAAAAACCCUGUCAGCACUUUGGUGUUUACUAUAUCGGAGAGGAGCGUCCAGUUGAGGACAAGGUACUGAACACCCCACCUUCCCCACAGCGAAGGAGGGAUGACCCUCAAUUAACCAUGGUGAAGGAGGCGGCACUGGCGGGGGGCUACACUGGUUAGGACUUGAGUGAUGAGGGGGUUGACAUGGGGUUCACUAUCCAUAUUACCUCAAAUGAGCUGAUAAAUCUCGGUUCGAGUGCACUAUUCCACUUCCAGGGGGAGGUCCUGAGACGACAGCCACACUUUCUGACCCAGUUUAUAGUCCGGGGGCGCCAUCCGAUGGCUAUUGGCCAGUCUCUGAUUCCGUCUGGCUGUGAGGACGAAGGAGGCUUGGGUCUUGCGCCAGACCCGGUGAAAGCUGCGGAGGUGGGAGGCCAGUAAUGGCAAGGCGCAGCCAUUCUCCUGGAAGGGAAAUAUGAAAUACUUUUUUUUAGUACCGUUUUGACCUGAAAAUGUGUCAAUUUUUACAGCCUCUUGGUCUUUGUGGCAAAUGGCAAACAUUUGGUGACAUAUCAACUGAAGUGAGAUAAAGGAUGACAGUAAAAGUCCUAAAGAAAGAUUAUUUAUAAAAGUUAAGAUGAAGGCAAAAGGACCCGCCAUGUCCAUUUGUUUGGGGUGGGGGGAGCGAAGUCCCUCUCAAAGUAAACUUUGCACUAAUCAGUAAGCUGUCUAACCUGAAAGCAAAGCCAUUGUGACUUGCAAAUCUUUUGCAAAUUACCAAAUAACAAGCAGCAAGUACAAGUCGUCCACAAGGACAAACACAAGAAUGUGAGACCACAUCUGGCUGGUGGUGCCUGCUUAUCUUUGCCGAUAUGUGCAUUUUCAGUGAUUUUACACUAUUCUUACAUGAUCAUUUUAAACAGUUCUGCUUCUGGUUAAUACCGCAUUAUUUCUUACAGGCUACUUGUAAUCACUGUAAUCACACACUUGAAAAAUUAAUUGGAAAAAUAGUUAUUUCUGUACUGUACUUAUUUUGGAGAAAUAUGAUCUCAGGGAAGAACUAAAUGUGAAACACUUAUAUGCUUAGGACUACGUUAAAAAGCCAUAGCAUUUCAGUAUGUGGAAUCAAACUAUGGAAUGUAUUGAGUAAGGAAAUCAAACAAUGCACAACGAUGAGCCAAUUCAAGAAACAAUACAAGCAGUUGAUGUUUGCUAAAUACAAGGAUGAAGAGUCUUGAACCAGUCAUGAUGUGCUAUAUACAGUGAAGAAAAUAAGUAUUUGAACACCCUGCUAUUUUGCUAUUUCUCCCACUUAGAAAUCAUGGAGGGGUCUGAAAUUUUCAUCGUAGGUGCAUGUCCACUGUGAGAGAGAUAAACUAAAAAGAAAAAUCCAGAAAUCACAAUGCAUGAUUUUUUAACAAUUUAUUUGUGUGAUACAGCUGCAAAUAAGUAUUUGAACACCUGUGUAUCAUCUAGAAUUCUGACCCUGAAAGACCUGUUAGUCUGCCCAUUAGAAGUCCACCUGCACUCCAUGUAUCAUCCUGAAUCAGAUGCACCUGUUUGAGGUCGUUAGCUGCAUAAAGACACCUGUCCACCCCAUACAAUCAGUAAGACUUUAACUUGUAACAUGGCGAAGACCAAAGAGCUGUCCAAAGACACCAGAGACAAAAUUGUACACCUCCACAAGGCCGGAAAGGGCUACGGAGCAAUUACCAAGCAGCUUGGUGAAAAAAGGUCCACUGUUGGAGCUAUCAUUAGAAAAUGGAAGAAGCUAAACAUGACGGUCAAUCUCAAUCGGAGUGGAGCCCCAUGCAAGAUAUCACCUCGUGGGGUCUCAAUGAUUCUAAGAAAGGUGAGGAAUCAGCCCAGAACUACACGACAGGACUUGGUCAAUGACCUGAAAAGAGCUGGGACCACCGUUUCCAAGGUUACUGUAGGUAAUACACUAAGACGUCAUGAUGUGAAAUCAUGCAUGGCACGAAAGGUUCCCCUGCUUAAACCAGCACAUGUCAAGGCCCGUCUUAAGUUUGCAUAUGACCAUUUGGAUGAUACAGAGGAGUCAUGGGAGAAAGUUUUAUGGUCAGAUGAGACCAAAAUAGAACUUUUUGGUCAUAAUUCCAAUAAGCGUGUUUGGAGGAAGAAGAAUGAAGAGUACAAUCCGAAGAACACCAUCCCUACUGUGAAGCAUGGGGGUGGUAGCAUCAUGCUUUGGGGGUGUUUUUCUGCACAUGGGACAGGACGAGUGCACUGCAUUAAAGAGAGGAUGACUGGGGCCGUGUAUUGUGAGAUUUUGGGGAACAACCUCCUUCCCUCUGUCAGAGCAUUGAAGAUGGGUCGUGGCUGGGUCUUCCAACACGACAACGACCCGAAGCACACAGCCAGGAAAACCAAGGAGUGGCUCCGUAAGAAGCAUAUCAAGGUUCUAGCAUGGCCCAGCCAGUCUCCAGACCUGAACCCAAUCGAAAAUCUUUGGAGGGAGCUCAAACUCUGUGUUUCUCAGCGACAGCCCAGAAACCUGACUGAUCUAGAGAAGAUCUGUGUGGAGGAGUGGGCCAAGAUCCCUCCUGCAGUGUGUGCAAACCUGGUGAAAAACUACAGGAAACGUUUGACCUCUGUAAUAGCAAACAAAGGCUACUGUACCAAAUAUUAACAUUCAUUUUCUCAGGUGUUCAAAUACUUAUUAGCAGCUGUAUCACACAAAUAAAUUGUUAAAAAAAUCAUGCAUUGUGAUUUCUGGAUUUUUCUUUUUAGUUUAUCUCUCUCACAGUGGACAUGCACCUACGAUGAAAAUUU
Doryrhamphus excisus (bluestripe pipefish) is the source of this 4431-nucleotide non-coding RNA. NCBI's taxonomy places the organism in Eukaryota, Metazoa, Chordata, Actinopteri, Syngnathiformes, Syngnathidae. The record is from RefSeq and is a predicted model, not a curated record.